UCUCAGUUCGGACUGCAGGCUGCAACCCGCCUGCACGAAGCUGGAUUCGCUAGUAAUCGCGCAUCAGCCACGGCGCGGUGAAUACGUUCCCGGGCCUUGUACACAUCGCCCGUCAAGCCAUGGAAGCCGGGAGUGCCUGAAGUGCGUGAGCGCAAGCAGCGCCCUAAGGUAAAACCGGUGACUGGGGCUAAGUCGUAACAAGGUAGC
Molecule: ribosomal RNA, 207 nt
Filed under: uncultured bacterium
Lineage: Bacteria
Description: partial 16S ribosomal RNA
Rfam family: Bacterial small subunit ribosomal RNA
Source: RNAcentral